This 69-nucleotide transfer RNA is filed under the name Leiometopon simyrides. Its description in RNAcentral is "tRNA-Ala". It matches the Rfam family "tRNA". Rfam says of the family: Transfer RNA (tRNA) molecules are approximately 80 nucleotides in length. Lineage: Eukaryota; Metazoa; Arthropoda; Insecta; Lepidoptera; Noctuidae. The record is from RNAcentral.
AGGAUUAUAGUUUAAUUACUUAAAACAUUUGAUUUGCAAUCAAAAAAUAUUGAAAAUCAAUUUAUCUUA